RNAcentral lists this ribosomal RNA (466 nucleotides) under uncultured bacterium. Its description in RNAcentral is "partial 16S ribosomal RNA". It matches the Rfam family "Bacterial small subunit ribosomal RNA", at positions 28 to 507 of the family's 1533-position model. The record is from RNAcentral.
GAUGAACGCUGGCGGCGUGCUUAACACAUGCAAGUCGAACGAUGAAGCCCAGCUUGCUGGGUGGAUUAGUGGCGAACGGGUGGGUAACACGUGAGUAACCUGCCCUUAACUCUGGGAUAAGCCUGGGAAACUGGGUCUAAUACCGGAUAGGAGCGUCCACCGCAUGGUGGGUGUUGGAAAGAUUUAUCGGUUUUGGAUGGACUCGCGGCCUAUCAGCUUGUUGGUGAGGUAAUGGCUCACCAAGGCGACGACGGGUAGCCGGCCUGAGAGGGUGACCGGCCACACUGGGACUGAGACACGGCCCAGACUCCUACGGGAGGCAGCAGUGGGGAAUAUUGCACAAUGGGCGCAAGCCUGAUGCAGCGACGCCGCGUGAGGGAUGACGGCCUUCGGGUUGUAAACCUCAUUCAGUAGGGAAGAAGCGAAAGUGACGGUACCUGCAGAAGAAGCACCGGCUAACUACGUG